GAAGAACCAGGAGAGGAGGGAGUUGAAGAGUCUGCAUCUUUGGCAGGAUGCACGGUAACUAAACCAAGGCACUGUCUGCCUGAGUAAAGAGGGAGUGAAGAGUUGGAAGCCUCUACCCUGCCUUUCCCUACCAUGGGCUUCUUGCUCCUCUGCUGUGUGGCCUUUUGUCUCUUGAGAACAGGCUCCAUGGAUGCUGGCAUUACCCAGACCCCAAGGCAUGGGAUUAUAAAGACAGGAAAGAGCAUUUUACUUAAGUGUUCUCAGACUAAGAGUCAUAACUAUAUGUACUAGUAUCGACAAGACCCAGGACUGGGGCUACGGCUGAUCUACUACUCCUACGUCAGUGAUAUUAAUGAAGGAGCGGUCUCCAGUGGGUACAAGGCCUCUCGAGAGGGGCUGGCAAAAUUCUCCCUGUUCCUAGGGGCUGCCGUCCCCAACCAAACAGCUCUCUACUUCUGUGCCAGCAGUG
Long non-coding RNA from Lutra lutra (Eurasian river otter), 469 nucleotides. RefSeq lists it as uncharacterized. Lineage: Eukaryota; Metazoa; Chordata; Mammalia; Carnivora; Mustelidae. The record is from RefSeq and is a predicted model, not a curated record. The transcript has 3 exons.